CCUACGGGGGGCAGCAGUGGGGAAUAUUGCACAAUGGGGGGAACCCUGAUGCAGCGACGCCGCGUGAAGGAAGAAGUAUUUCGGUAUGUAAACUUCUAUCAGCAGGGAAGAAAAUGACGGUACCUGACUAAGAAGCCCCGGCUAACUACGUGCCAGCAGCCGCGGUAAUACGUAGGGGGCAAGCGUUAUCCGGAUUUACUGGGUGUAAAGGGAGCGUAGACGGCGGUGCAAGCCAGAUGUGAAAGCCCGGGGCUCAACCCCGGGACUGCAUUUGGAACUGUGCUGCUAGAGUGUCGGUGAGGCAG
This 305-nucleotide ribosomal RNA is filed under the name uncultured bacterium. RNAcentral's name for it is "bacterial SSU rRNA". It matches the Rfam family "Bacterial small subunit ribosomal RNA", at positions 338 to 660 of the family's 1533-position model. The record is from RNAcentral.